This 206-nucleotide long non-coding RNA is filed under the name Populus trichocarpa (black cottonwood). Its description in RNAcentral is "long non-coding RNA (PTRI_LNC002240)". The record is from RNAcentral. Lineage: Eukaryota; Viridiplantae; Streptophyta; Magnoliopsida; Malpighiales; Salicaceae.
AACAAAACAAUUCAAAAAUUAUUUCAAUAAAAACUAAAAUUCAUGUCAUUUAUUAAUUCAUAAAAUUAUUAAGAACACAAAAUUAAACAAACAUAAUGACAAAAAAAAACAUAAAUAAUUCAAAAAAAACACAAAAAAAGAAGAAAAAUAGAUGAAAAAUUCUUACCUUAAUGACGUGCUUGAUAUUGGCUCUUAAUUAUAAAAAA